RNAcentral lists this long non-coding RNA (425 nucleotides) under Coturnix japonica (Japanese quail). Its description in RNAcentral is "lncRNA (ENSCJPG00005002536.1)". The record is from RNAcentral. Lineage: Eukaryota; Metazoa; Chordata; Aves; Galliformes; Phasianidae.
GCCCCUGUCCCUCCAGCGGGUAGAAACUCUGUAUACAUCCUCCUGGAAGUGUAACACAGCAGAGAAAGUAAAGACCAGGGAUAAACAAAUUAAGAGUGCCACCAGUGUUCUGAAGACAAUAUUUUUGAGCUUCAUCACUGAAAUAAAGAUUUGAGAAAUCACCAAUGAACAGCUCAAAUCCACUAGAAAGUCAAGUUUGGGCCCACAUGCAGAUUCUCACAUGAGGCUUUCACAUGUUGGAUUGUAUAUACCUGGUGGUUUACCCUUGGCAAACAGCCCAGUUCCCACCCAGCCAGCAAUCCAAUCCUAACAUUUAAAGGGACAGAGAGAGAAAAUGAGAAAAUUUAUGCACUGAGAUAACGGUGAGUAAAUUGUUUACCAACUAUGGACACAAAGCAGAACUGAUUCCACUUGGAAAAAUCAAU